Long non-coding RNA from Rhipicephalus sanguineus (brown dog tick), 1493 nucleotides. RefSeq lists it as uncharacterized. The transcript has 2 exons. Lineage: Eukaryota; Metazoa; Arthropoda; Arachnida; Ixodida; Ixodidae. The record is from RefSeq and is a predicted model, not a curated record.
CUGCAGCAGAAAUUGAUUGCGGAAAACCCUUCGUACAAAAAGACUGUCGAGAUUUGUCGCACGCAAGAGCAAGGGAAACAGCAGUUUCUUGAAAUCUGUGAAGCCGCGGAGACAGCGCAGGACACGGCAGUUAACGCAAUGGCAAAGAAAGGGGAUGCAUGCGGCAGCGGCGGCUAUCGCGCACACCGUGGCGAAAGAUGCCCCGCCGCCGGUAGAAGAUGCAAUAAGUGCGGAGGGCUUAACCACUUUGCCCUAGCAUGCAAAUCGGCACCGCCUUCGCUAUCCUUUCCCCACAAGAAGAAAGAACUACGGGAAUUAUGCGCAGACGCCGACGACGAUUUUUUUUUUUGCAAACGUUUACGGUGAGCACGCUCAACACAGACCACUGGACCGCGACAGUGGACAAUGAAGGACAACCAAUGCCUUGCAAAUUAGACACGGGGGCGAAUUGUUGUGUCAUUUCAAGGAGGGACGUCGCAAAGCUACCGGAUCUACCAGAGCAGGCUUGCCGAGUCGCGCUAACAGCAUUUUUUGGCCACAAGGCAACCGCCCAAGCAAAAGUGCGCCUGCGGCUUUCAGCCAAUGAGAGGGUGGUCCUCGAAACAUUUUACAUCAUAGAGCAAAGUGUACCAGUGACUUUGAGCGGUUCAGCAGCCGAACGCCUUGAAUUCAUCCGCUGGGUACAGCACAUUGAUGUCGAUCAACUUUACCCGCCGGCACAACCUUUUGCAGAUGUCUUCACAGGACUGGGGGAGCUCAAGGACUACGAGUACAGGAUAAAACUCAAGCCCGGCGCCGUGGUGUCAUCGUACCGGCUCGGAGAAUCCCCGUGGCCCUGGAGGACAAAACUAGGGCGGAACUUCAGCGUAUGGAGGAUCAGGGCGUCAUAAGAAAGAGACUGAUGGGAAGGCAGGCGAGGACCCUGCUGCCCGUACCCGCAAGCCACCUGGUGCCGGAGACUGCGCCCAACCGAGCCGUCCAUAACCGUCUCCAGGAAAUUCACCAACGCCAGAGAAUCUACUACAAUCGCCGCUCCAGGAACCCGCCACCCCUGUCACCUGGCCAGAGGGUGACUACAUACGAUACCCACGAAAGGACCUGGGCACCUGCGGUCUUUCUCAGGCCAGCUGAGAUGCCGCGCUCCGUGGUGGUUUAGACUGAGGAGGGCCAGGAAAUUAGACGUACUCGCGAGCAUCUGCGAGACGCACCUACACAUACCGAAGAGAGUCCUCGUGACGGGUCCGAACGACUAGACGACGCCCAGCCCGCUCAAGAGCUACGUAGAAGCACAAGGACACGCCGGGAGCCCUGCAGCUACCCACAACCAGAAAGAGCUGUGUAAUUAACUUCUUCCCCAAGAAAAGGGAGAUGUAGCAUGGCUGAGUAACUCUGACGUAACCAGCCAUUUCGUUAAAAUCACGUGACCUGCUACGUCACCAUUCUUUCCUAUAUCUGCUUCGUUUCAACCACAAUAAACGUUGUUCAUCACCCGA